Molecule: ribosomal RNA, 219 nt
Filed under: Enterobacter hormaechei
Lineage: Bacteria; Pseudomonadati; Pseudomonadota; Gammaproteobacteria; Enterobacterales; Enterobacteriaceae
Description: partial 23S ribosomal RNA
Rfam family: Bacterial large subunit ribosomal RNA
Source: RNAcentral
GCGACUAAGCGUACACGGUGGAUGCCCUGGCAGUCAGAGGCGAUGAAGGACGUGCUAAUCUGCGAAAAGCGCCGGCGAGGUGAUAUGAACCUUUGACCCGGCGAUGUCCGAAUGGGGAAACCCAGUGCAAUUCGUUGCACUAUCGUUAACUGAAUACAUAGGUUAACGAGGCGAACCGGGGGAACUGAAACAUCUAAGUACCCCGAGGAAAAGAAAUCA